This 332-nucleotide ribosomal RNA is filed under the name uncultured bacterium. Its description in RNAcentral is "bacterial SSU rRNA". It matches the Rfam family "Bacterial small subunit ribosomal RNA", at positions 568 to 898 of the family's 1533-position model. The record is from RNAcentral.
UGCGCAGGUGGCCAAGUGUGUGAGGCGUGAAAGCCUGGAGCUUAACUCCAGAAUUGCACCUCAAACUACAUGGCUAGAGCAUUGGAGAGGGUAGCAGAAUUCAUGGUGUAGCAGUGAAAUGCGUAGAUAUCAUGAGGAAUACCAGAGGCGAAGGCGGCUACCUGGACAAUUGCUGACACUCAGGCACGAAAGCGUGGGGAGCAAAAGGGAUUAGAUACCCCUGUAGUCCACGCCCUAAACGGUGCACACUAGGUCUUGGCGGAUUCGACCCCCCCAGGGCCCAAGCUAACGCGUUAAGUGUGCCGCCUGAGGACUACGGCCGCAAGGCUAAA